UACGGAGGGUGCAAGCGUUAAUCGGAAUUACUGGGCGUAAAGCGCGCGUAGGCGGCUUUGUAAGUCGGAUGUGAAAGCCCUGGGCUUAACCUGGGAAUUGCAUUCGAUACUGCAUGGCUAGAGUAUGGUAGAGGAUAGUGGAAUUCCUGGUGUAGCGGUGAAAUGCGUAGAUAUCAGGAGGAACAUCAGUGGCGAAGGCGGCUAUCUGGACCAAUACUGACGCUGAGGUGCGAAAGCGUGGGGAGCAAAC
Molecule: ribosomal RNA, 250 nt
Filed under: uncultured bacterium
Lineage: Bacteria
Description: partial 16S ribosomal RNA
Rfam family: Bacterial small subunit ribosomal RNA
Source: RNAcentral